UGUCGGGGUGCCUAAACAGCACCCCAUAGCAAGGGCCGGGCAAGGCCGGUGGCAGCCGCCGCGGUAAGACCGGCGAAAAGAGUGGCGGCCACUCUUAUUGGGCCUAAAGCGUCCGUAGCCGGCCCAGUAAGUCCCCCGGGAAAUCUGGUCGCUUAACGAUCAGACUUCCGGGGGAUACUGCUGGGCUAGGGACCGGGAGAGGCCGAGGGUAUUCCCGGGGUAGGGGUGAAAUCCUGUAAUCCCGGGAGGACCACCUGUGGCGAAGGCGCUCGGCUGGAACGGGUCCGACGGUGAGGGACGAAGGCCUGGGGAGCGAACCGGAUUAGAUACCCGGGUAGUCCAGGCUGUAAACGAUGCGGGCUAGGUGUCACCGGAGCUACGAGCUCCGGAAGUGCCGGAGGGAAGCCGUUAAGCCCGCCGCCUGGGAAGUACAACGGCAAGGCUGAAACUUAAAGGAAUUGACGG
RNAcentral lists this ribosomal RNA (465 nucleotides) under uncultured archaeon. Its description in RNAcentral is "bacterial SSU rRNA". It matches the Rfam family "Archaeal small subunit ribosomal RNA", at positions 408 to 871 of the family's 1478-position model. The record is from RNAcentral.